UCUACCCGCUGACAUAUGCACAGCAGAGUCUGGAGCUGGCUCUUUGUCCUCCCCGGAGUCCCAUGGGGCUCUGCUUGUUGGCUUCCUCUGUGAGCUUGAGGACUUUCUUGUGGAAUAACCAUUGGUUUUCCUCAUUUUUGACAAGAAUCUAGUGCUUUUCCCUUCGCUCCAUCUUUUCCCCUCAGGCAGGGACAUUCAUAAGCCCUGGAGACAAUGUGUUAUAUUGUUGUUUGUUCUCCAGUUCCUGGCAAGGGUGGGGUCUUCAGGGAGAAGAGCAUUAGUGGGUGACUUGGAGUCAGGAGAGCCUGUGCCACUGCUGACCUGAGGCGUGUCUUUGCCCGUCCCCAUCCAGGUUCCCCGAGAGCAAAAUGUUGGGGCCCAGCCCCGUGACAGAGGCCGACCCCUGCCCCACAGCUAUGUAAUUUUUUUUAGAGUGUAGUUGUUUCUGGAAUACUUGGGUUGAAUUCCUGUAGGGCCAACAGGAAGAAGGCUGUGGCGUAGCCAUGGUCAGGAAACUGAGCUCUGACCAGAGGCCACUGGUCACAUGUGGGAUGUCUGCCAGAAAAGAAUGAAGAGUGUCAGGAAGUAGGGAUUGGAGGACUUUCCCUGACGCUGCUUCAUUAUUUCAAGGGGAGGGAGUUGAUGGUGAUUAUGGAGGUUCUAAAGCCCUCCCUAACUCCCUCAACUCCAUGGGUGCGUCCACUUGGGUUCUGGGGAUGGGACUGCCGCUUGUGGGAGACCAUGAGUCAUGGGACCUGGGAGAGGUGUGGCAAGCAGUUGUGGGCACCUCUGAAACAUCCCUUCUUCCUAGACAUGGCUGCUGUCCAAGGGACGGGGACUCCAAGGAGCAACCGUGGGAAGGCAAGGAGGCCAGGAUUGCCAGCUGGAAGAUUUCUAGAGGAGAUGCCUCAUCUUCAGAGGUCUAAGGAGGAUCAGGCAUGGGCCAGCUUCUCCCUAGGAAGCUACUCCCAUCCAUUAUGCUGCCUGAGCACCAAAGUGCUACUUACCCAGAAUCGAGACAUGAUUUAAAACCCGCACCGUCUGUUUUGGGCAGAUACAAAUGAAUGACAAAUGAAUCUGUCAUUUGGGCAGGGCUUGAUGGGGUCAGGGCUCUACGUGGCACGGGUGGAGCUGGCCUGAAGACUGGGGGCUGGCAUCCCCUGGGGCUGCUUUACCUGUCCAGCAGUGGAGGCUGGUCGUCGGCUGAACCCCUACACGUGAGCUCUGCCCGCUGCUGCCUGGCUUCCUCCCAGCACCGCGGCGCAGCCCUUCAUCGGCCAUGAGACGUGCAAAUUAAAACCACAGUGAGAUAGCGCUACGCCCCUCCUAGGACGUCUAAACAAAAAAGACUGACCGUACCCAGUGUUGUCAAGGAUGCUCUCCUCUGUUUUGGAAACGGGCUGGGCAGUUUCUCCAGAAGUGAAACGUCCGCUUGCCAUAUGACCCAGCCAUGCAGCUCCGAGGUAAGCAUCCCAGAGAAAGGAAGACAACGCGUGUUCAUAGCAGCUUUAUCUGCCCUAGCCAGAAAUGUCCAUCAACAGGUGAACAGAUAAGUAAUUUAUGGUACACAGUGAAACACAAUUCAGCAAUAAAAAUUAACUGUUGAUACAUGCAACAAUGUGGGCAGCUCUCCAAGCUCUCAGGCUGAGUGAAAGAAGCCAGACAAAAAAAGGUGCACCUACAGGGCACCUGGGUGGCUCAGUCGGUUAAGCAUCCGCCUUCGGCUCAGAUUGUGAUCCCAGAGUCCUGGGAUUGAGCCCCAUGUCAGGCUGUCUGCUCAGUGGGGAGUCUGCUUCUCCCUCUCCCUCUGCUCCUCCCCCUACUUGUGCUUUCUCUCUCUCUCUCUCAAAUAAAUAGGUAAAAUCUUGUUUUUUUUUUUUUCAAGUGCAUGUAGAGUAUAAAAGCCUAGAAAAUGCAAACUUAACCUGUGAUGACAGAAAGCACAUCAAAGGUUGCCUGGAGAUGCUAGGCAUGGGGUGGAGGGAGGGAUGACAGAGGAACACGAGCAAACUUGUAGCUUGAUGGAUACAAUAUCUUGAUAGUGGUGCUGGUUUUACAGGCGUAUACAUGUCAAAAUUUGCCAAGUUGUACACUUUAGAUGGGUGGUGUUUACUGGGUGUCAAUCACAUCUCAACUUACAAAAUGAAUACUAAGGUGGAAAAAGGAAGGGUGCUUGGGGUGAGAAGAAUCAUGGCGGUCAUCUUGGGAAACACAACCUACCUCAUUCACCAGGUGUUUCCAACGUGUCAGGCACUGUGUGUGCUAAGUGCUUAACAACACUGGUACUAAGUCCACCCAACAACCCAACCCGAAGGGAAGAUGAGGAGGUGGCCAACUAUUUAUUGUUAUUAUUAUCUUGAUGUUAUCAGAGAGCCAUGGGGUCUUGGUCUCUGGGAGAGGAGCGUGUCUCAGGGCUCUGAUGAGCAGGACAUCAGGGUUUUUCUCCCUGAGCUGCAGGAGAAGCUGCUUUCCACUUCUUGGGACAGGUCAGGAAGCAGAGGCGCCCUUUAGAAAGCAGUGAGGUGGAAGCUUGGUGGGCAGGUGUCAGGACCUGGCUGCCCAACUGAGAAGCAGGAAGGGACCUGCGGAGGGGCCUCUCUCAAGCAAGAGUGGUCCCUUCCUUCUUGUGUUAGUUGGGUCCCUUUGGACAGGUAGAUGCCUGCCCAGGACCCCCUGGUAAUUGUAUCCAGCUCUCCCCUGGGAACCACCAUGUUAUGACUUGAAGUCCUCAAAGAUCAGCUGAAAUUGCCACCAUCCCCUUCGCCCCGCUUGCAGAGGGUCUGGCCAGCCCACUGAUCACCAGGGAUUAGCCUGGGCAAAUGCAGGAGCCAGGCUAGGUCAACCAACAAGAGCCUUGGACCUGUGCUCUAAGCAGCAGGAAGGAGACUUUUCCUUUUGCUGGGGUGGCUAUGCUGGCCGACGGGAGCCUUGGUGGACAUCUCUCCACCACAUGGGGAAAGCCUGCCUGAGAACCAACCCAAAAGAUGGUUGCAGAACAGGGAGAAGGAAAGGGAUGUGUUUCUGACAUCCAGUUCAGGCCUGCAGAGCCAGCCGUACCUAAAGUUGGGCCCUCUCCAGGACUUGUUUUAGGGGCUGAUAAUCCACCUCCCUUCCUUAAACUAGUUGCACUUGGGUUUCUGUUUCUUGCAAACCAAGUAGUCCUCUGUGCUUCUUCCCAGCACUAAGACGCCCCACCCCCACCCCUCCAGGGGCUUUCCGAGAGACCCGAGACCCGGAUAUUGGGGUUGGCUGGCAAUUGCACUGCACCUGUGUCUGCCCCAACCCUCCACACCUGGGGAGGAAGCAGACACCAAGCCCCCAGUUCUGAGGCCCCAAGGAGGGCUCGGCUUUUUGAAGCGCUGCAUGCUCUGUUCAGUCCCAGGGCUGUAACGGAGAUGGCAACCCAACCCAACCCAACCCAACCCAGGGAGCCAGGGCAUCCUGGCGUGGCUGGGCCCUGUGUGUCUGGCCACUGCUCUCUGUCUCAAGUGACAGGGUGAGGUCAUCCCUUCUCCCUGUUCCAGAUCCUAAUUAGGCCUCUCUCUCCUUUUUAAUAGGGGCAGAGGGCUGCCCAACAGACAGAUUCUGGUUUAGGAGCCUAGAAAGGGUAGGCUGUGGGCUGGAGAGCGGCUGGUGCACAGCCCCGUGGACCCUUCACCCCCACCCCCAUGGUGAAUCUAGGCCUGGGUGACAACAGGGUGCCCAGAGCAGGGAUGAAGGGUCUGGGCCUGGAGGACGGAGGGCCUUGCGAAGAGCAGAUGGGGGAUAGAACGGGUGGUACCUCUGCCUGGGAAGAGGGGGAGCAGAUCACUUGUGCCAUGCUGUCCCAUGGAGCUGAGCAGCAAUAAUAGCAGUUGUGACAUUGAUUGAGCAGUUGCUCUACGCUGAACUUUCUAUCAUUGAAUCCUUAUGACCAUUUAUGAGGUGGGUUCUACAGCCCUCACUUUACAGUCACGCUGAGGCUUUCAUAAGGUGUCCACAGUCACACAGCUAGCAGAAGGGGAGCCGGCCAGGGGGCCUCCAUGGGUCUGGAGGAAGUGGUGGAGGGGAGGGGGGAGGACAGAUGUGGGAGGCAGGCAGAAGGAGGCAUCAGCAGGAGCAGAGGGAGGCUGGGGGCCGUCCAGGAGGAAGAGGUGACAGGACUUGAGAGGCUUUGUUGGAAGGGAGGACAGCUGGGUGACAGGAUCAGCAGGGCCUGGAGAGGGAGGCUUGUGUACAGGCUGGUGAAGCUCCUGGGAUGGGGAAUGGAGAGGGCGGGGAAUCUCCCUCACUCUGUGUGGAAAUGAGAACAGGGAGAAACUGAGGAGUCCUCAGGGAAGAGCUUCUCCAGGAGGGCUUGCACAGGAUACGGGGAGAGGGCGAGGGGGAGACGGCAGGGACUAAGGUGGAGGCACUGGAAGGGCUGAUGGGGCAGGAGGGAGGGGAGGAGAAGGGGGGCAGCCGAGGGUAGUGGGGGCAGACCAGGCUUUGACACAGGAGUGGCCAAGGCUGGGGCUGCAGAAAGGUCAGGAGAGGGCACCCCCGGUGGCGCAGCGGUUUAGCACUGCCUACAGCCUGGGGCGUGAUCCUGGAGACCCCGGAUCGAGUCCCGCGUCGGGCUCCCUGCAUGGAGCCUGCUUCUCCCUCUGCCUCUCUCUCUGUCUCUAUGAAUAAAUAAAUAAUCUUAAAAAAAAAAAAGAAAGGUCAGGAGAGAUGAAGGCGAGGAUAUACUACUAUGUGCUGGGUCAUGGUGUUUGACUGUGGUGAGAGAGAGAGGCUUGUUCUUUUCUGAAUGUGAAAUCUUAUUUCUGAUUGUAAUAGUAAAGCAUGAAAAAUACAAUUAAAUAGGGGUAGGAAUAGUAAAAGGUGUAAGACUUCCCAUGAUCCCAAACCCACACACUACUACUAUUACUAGCCUUAAAGUUUCCUUCAGAUUUUUGGAAUACGAACCAAAACACACAUACCUAUGUCAGAGGAUUCCCAUUGCUCCCCAUCUUUGCCAAAACUAAAUAUUACCUGUCUUUUUCAUUUUAGCCAUUCAGGUGUGUGUGCACCUGCUCUCAUUGUAGUCUUAAUUUCUGUUUCCUUGAUGAAAAAUGGGAUUGAGCGUGUUUUCACGUGUAUUGACCUUUAAGAUAUCCUGUUCUGUGAAGGGCCAGUUCAGAUUUUUGUUUUUCUAUUGGUUUGUUUGACUUCUUGUUAAUGAUUUGUAGGUGGUCUUUAUAUGAUCCGAAUAGAACCCCUCUCUUGGUUAUAAGUAUUGUGAGUAUCUUCCACUCCAUGGAUCUUUUCACUGUUGUUAAUGGUAUCUUCUGAUAAACAGAGGCUGCCAAUUUGAAUGUUAUUCAAAUAAAGUUUUUCCAUUAUAACUGACUUUUUUUUUUUUUUUGGUGUUGUAUUUAAGAAAUCUUUGCCCACUAAGAUUUCUUUUUAAGAUUUUUUGCUGAUAAAAAAAAGAUUUUUGCUGAUAGUCUUCUAUGUUUUCUUCUUUUUUUUUUAUGUUUUCUUCUAAGCUUAAUUGUUUUACAUCCCAGAUUCUACGAAGAUUUUACUAAGUAAAACCUUUUUUUAAAAAUUUUUAUUUAUUUAUGAUAGUCACACACACACACACACACACACACACACACACACAGAGAUGCAGAGAAACAGGCAGAGGGAGAAGCAGGCUCCAUGCACCGGGAGCCCAACGUGGGAUUCAAUCCUAGGUCUCCAGGAUCGCGCCCUGGG
RNAcentral lists this long non-coding RNA (5706 nucleotides) under Canis lupus familiaris (dog). RNAcentral describes it as "lncRNA (ENSCAFG00845004887.1)". Lineage: Eukaryota; Metazoa; Chordata; Mammalia; Carnivora; Canidae. The record is from RNAcentral.